AUGCGAGUCGGGCGCUGCCCGGACUCCAGCAAUGCAGCCACCCUCGGCUCCCUUCCUGCGGCCGCACAUUGUUGCGGCCCUGCCUCUACGCGCCGCUCUGCUGCUCCCCAGCACCGCCCGUGCUGGCUGCUCCGCGUCUGCACACGCCGGCUGUUUUCUAGACGCGCUAAGUCCCUGCUUCGGUCGCCUUCGAGCUGCGCCGGCCACGGCCCCGCUGCUACGCCAAGCGUUGCUCGAGCUCUGGUGCUCGCUCCAUCUUCUCCUGCCUCGCACGCGUCGUGUUUCUCCGCUCCACCAUCAUGGUCGAGGUCACCUCAAUGCCCCUGUGCGUCACUUAGCCGGCGUCCUCCCGCGUCGCCACCGCUCCUCUGCCAGGUCCGCGCGCGCCGGCCACUGCUGGAUCCGGCUCCGCCAGCCUCCCGCGCGCCGUCUGGCCACUCCUCAUCGCCGGCUCUGCGCGCCCGCGUCGCCCCGCCUAGGCCGGCUCCGGUUUCCGUGUGCCCGCUGGCAAGCGCGGCCUCGGCCAGCCCCGGCUACCGCGCAGCCGCUCGCUGGCGCGGCCUCGACCUCGUCCUUGGACGACCGCGUCGCUCCGGCUCUGCCUCCCACCCGUGCGCCGGGCCGGCUCGCCGUUCGCUGGCUUCGCCGUCCCCGAGCGGCUCCUGGCCGCCUCCCCAAGCUGGCUCCUGGCCGCCUCCCCAAGACGGCCACGUCCGACUCCGCCCGACGCCGCCCCGAGAUUGGACGGGUCUGGCUCGCCCCGCUUCCCGGCCUCCCGCCUGCUGCUCCUCCGCUUCGGCCGGCUCCCGCGCUGGCCGGUUUCCCUGCAACCCGGCCUGCCCGACUUCGCCCUCGCUAGCUCCUCCUGCCACCUGGCCUCCUGCCGGCUCACCGCUCGCCGGCUCCGCCUCCCGCCGGCUCCGCCUCCCGCCGGCUCUGGUCCCGGCUUCGCGCCGCGCCUCACCCUACUGCUGCCCCCGCUGUGGCCGGGUCGCUUCCGCCAUGGCUGGGCCGCGCCCGCCACAUCGGCCCAGCCCCGUCGUCUUCAACCGCCCCCGCCUUGGGUCCUCGUCGCCGGCCGGCCGGCUCACUGCUCGCCGGCUCCGCCUCCACCAGUGGCCGGGUCGCGCGUGCCGGCUCCGCCCCAACCCUCUCGCCGGCUUUGCCUCUGCCCGAGGCCGGGUGCUCCAACCCGGCCUCGGCGUCCUGCGCCUCCACGCGCUUGGCAGCUCGACCCCGCCGCGCCCGUCGGCUCCGGGUCACCCACGCCGCCCCCGCGCGGCCGGCCGUUGCCGCUACCGUCUUCGGUUUCCCCGUGGCCGGGUCGCGCCCGCCGGUUCCGGCUCUGCCCGUGGCCGGCUCUAG
This 1365-nucleotide ribosomal RNA is filed under the name Triticum aestivum (bread wheat). Its description in RNAcentral is "partial small subunit ribosomal RNA". The record is from RNAcentral. Lineage: Eukaryota; Viridiplantae; Streptophyta; Magnoliopsida; Poales; Poaceae.